This is an unclassified non-coding RNA of Microcebus murinus (gray mouse lemur), 102 nucleotides long. Its record names the gene Vault. It matches the Rfam family "Vault RNA". Rfam says of the family: This family of RNAs are found as part of the enigmatic vault ribonucleoprotein complex. Lineage: Eukaryota; Metazoa; Chordata; Mammalia; Primates; Cheirogaleidae. The record is from Ensembl.
GGGCUGGCAUUAGCUCAAGUGAUUGCUUCCUCACGCUGGACUUUCCAUCCUUCUAAUCCCUGCACUGGGGUUCGAGACCCGUGGGUGUUUUCUGACCCUUUA